UAGUGGCGCACGGGUGCGUAACGCGUGGGAAUCUGCCCUUGGGUUCGGAAUAACAGCGAGAAAUUGCUGCUAAUACCGGAUGAUGUCGCGAGACCAAAGAUUUAUCGCCUGAGGAUGAGCCCGCGUUGGAUUAGGUAGUUGGUGGGGUAAAGGCCUACCAAGCCGACGAUCCAUAGCUGGUCUGAGAGGAUGAUCAGCCACACUGGGACUGAGACACGGCCCAGACUCC
This 229-nucleotide ribosomal RNA is filed under the name uncultured bacterium. Its description in RNAcentral is "partial 16S ribosomal RNA". It matches the Rfam family "Bacterial small subunit ribosomal RNA", at positions 93 to 339 of the family's 1533-position model. The record is from RNAcentral.